This 480-nucleotide ribosomal RNA is filed under the name Priceomyces sp. RNAcentral describes it as "partial large subunit ribosomal RNA". It matches the Rfam family "Eukaryotic large subunit ribosomal RNA", at positions 150 to 654 of the family's 3401-position model. Lineage: Eukaryota; Fungi; Ascomycota; Pichiomycetes; Serinales; Debaryomycetaceae. The record is from RNAcentral.
UUGAAGAUUGAAGGUUCAUUGGGUCUUGUCUAUGUUCCUUGGAAUAGGACAUCACAGAGGGUGAGAAUCCCGUGCGAUGAGAUUCCGUAUUGUAACCUUCUUUCGACGAGUCGAGUUGUUUGGGAAUGCAGCUCUAAGUGGGUGGUAAAUUCCAUCUAAAGCUAAAUAUUGGCGAGAGACCGAUAGCGAACAAGUACAGUGAUGGAAAGAUGAAAAGAACUUUGAAAAGAGAGUGAAAAAGUACGUGAAAUUGUUGAAAGGGAAGGAUAUGAGAUCAGACUUGGUAUUUUGCAACCUUACUCUCGUGGUGGGGCCCCUGCAGUUUACUGGGCCAGCAUCAAUUUGGAUGAUGGGAUAAUGACUCAGGAAUGUAGCUCUACUUCGGUGGAGUGUUAUAGCCUGUGUUGAUACCGUCUAUCUAGAUUGAGGACUGCGUCUUUUGACAAGGAUGUUGGCAUAAUGAUCUUAUAUCACCCGUCU